This 422-nucleotide ribosomal RNA is filed under the name Streptoprocne zonaris (white-collared swift). RNAcentral describes it as "partial 12S ribosomal RNA". The record is from RNAcentral. Lineage: Eukaryota; Metazoa; Chordata; Aves; Apodiformes; Apodidae.
GCCUAGCCUUAAAUCUGGAUACUUCCCCCACCAAAGUAUUCGCCCGAGAACUACGAGCACAAACGCUUAAAACUCUAAGGACUGGGGGGUGUCCCAAACCCACCUAGAGGAGCCUGUUCUAUAAUCGAUAACCCACGAUACACCCAACCACUCCUUGCCAGAGCAGCCUACAUACCGCCGUCGCCAGUUCACCUUCCCUGAGAAGAAUAACAGUGAACACAAUACCCUUCAUCCCGCUAGCAAGACAGGUCAAGGUAUAGCCUAUGAAAGUGGAAGAAAUGGGCUACAUUUUCUAUAAUAAAAAACCACAAAAAGAAGUGUGAAAUAACUUCUAGAAGGGGGAUUUAGCAGUAAAGCAGGACAAUUGAACCUCCUUUAAACUGGCCCUGGGACACGUUCAUACCGCCCGUCACCCUCCUCAA